UGGGGAAUUUUGGACAAUGGGCGAAAGCCUGAUCCAGCAAUGCCGCGUGUGUGAAGAAGGCCUUCGGGUUGUAAAGCACUUUUGUCCGGAAAGAAAUCCUUGGCUCUAAUACAGUCGGGGGAUGACGGUACCGGAAGAAUAAGCACCGGCUAACUACGUGCCAGCAGCCGCGGUAAUACGUAGGGUGCAAGCGUUAAUCGGAAUUACUGGGCGUAAAGCGUGCGCAGGCGGUUUGCUAAGACCGAUGUGAAAUCCCCGGGCUCAACCUGGGAACUGCAUUGGUGACUGGCAGGCUAGAGUAUGGCAGAGGGGGGUAGAAUUCCACGUGUAGCAGUGAAAUGCGUAGAGAUGUGGAGGAAUACCGAUGGCGAAGGCAGCCCCCUGGGCCAAUACUGACGCUCAUGCACGAAAGCGUGGGGAGCAAAACAGGAUUAGAUACCCUGGUAGUCCACGCCCUAAAACGAUGUCAACUAGUUGUUGGGGAUUCAUUUCCUAGUAACGUAGCUAACGCGUGAAGUUGACCGCCUGGGGAGUACGUCGCAAGAUUAAAACUCAAAGGAAUUG
RNAcentral lists this ribosomal RNA (564 nucleotides) under uncultured bacterium. RNAcentral's name for it is "partial 16S ribosomal RNA". It matches the Rfam family "Bacterial small subunit ribosomal RNA", at positions 355 to 912 of the family's 1533-position model. The record is from RNAcentral.